AACGAACGCUGGCGGCGCGUUUUAAGCAUGCAAGUCGAACGGGAUUGGAGGUGCUUGCACUUCCAUGAGAGUGGCGAACGGGUGAGUAACACGUAGUUGAUCUGCCUUUCAGUUGGGGAUAGCCUAUGGAAACAUAGGGUAAUACCGAAUACACUCUUUUUGCUUUGGCGAUUAGAGGAAAGAUCCGUUUGGAUCGCUGAUUGAUGAGACUGCGGCUGAUUAGCUUGUUGGUGGGGUAAUGGCCUACCAAGGCGACGAUCAGUAGCCGGCCUGAGAGGGUGACCGGCCACACUGGGACUGAGACACGGCCCAGACUCCUACGGGAGGCAGCAGCUAAGAAUCUUCCGCAAUGGGGGCAACCCUGACGGAGCGACGCCGCGUGUGCGAAGAAUGUCGAGAGAUUUGUAAAGCACUUUUAUGUAGGAAGAAUAAGGUAGUCAGGAAAUGGUCUAUCGAUGACGUUACUACAUGAAUAAGC
This 478-nucleotide ribosomal RNA is filed under the name uncultured bacterium. RNAcentral describes it as "bacterial SSU rRNA". It matches the Rfam family "Bacterial small subunit ribosomal RNA", at positions 29 to 491 of the family's 1533-position model. The record is from RNAcentral.